RNAcentral lists this unclassified non-coding RNA (181 nucleotides) under uncultured fungus. RNAcentral's name for it is "sequence contains ITS1". The record is from RNAcentral. Lineage: Eukaryota; Fungi.
UUGUUUUUGUUACGAUAGUUUACAUUCUUUACAUUUUGUUUGUGUGGUCCCUCCGGGCCAGGCCCCACCGGUGAAGGUGAGGCCCUAUGCAGCCCUCGGGAAUGGUUCACGGUGUGUGUGGAUGAAGACACGGCCUUUCGGCCAAUCUAUAAUGAUCCUUCCGCAGGUUCACCUACGGAAA